Molecule: long non-coding RNA, 613 nt
Organism: Homo sapiens (human)
Lineage: Eukaryota; Metazoa; Chordata; Mammalia; Primates; Hominidae
Gene: EOGT-DT
Product: EOGT divergent transcript
Source: Ensembl
GCAGCAGCCCGCGCCUCCUUGAGCGAGAGCGUUAAAGCGCUCAGAGGAUGUUAGGACGGGAAAAACACAUACUUCUUGGAUUUGUGUUUUGGAAACCUGUGACAGUACCUGCUGAAGUUCACCGAUCUCAUGGCGUAAAUAAUCCUCCUUUCUGGCAGCCGCUUGUUCUGUACGCUGCAAUGCAAGCCUAAGGUCCCCCACCUGUAGGAGGAGAAACAAUACAUUCACAAACAAUGUUUUAGGUGAUGAAGUACCUGCUGCCAGAGUUUCCCCUGAAACACACAAAGAAGAGUCUUUUACUUGUGAUUCAGUUGUUUCAGGAGUUCUUGACUGGCCAAUGUGCAAGGAUUCAUGUAAGCUGCUUUUCACUUCUUCUUCUGGUCGUUGUGAUUUUGCUGGAGGUUUUGAUACCACUGGACUCUUCUGAAUGGUCUGGACAUCAGUUGGCGAGAGAAAGGCACUGAAGAAAUUUUCAGAUUCAUCGACCACAGUCCUCCGAACUGGCUUUGUGAUUGCUUUAGGAGAGGCUAUUGGUGGACUCUGAGGUUCAGUGUUUGAUUUCAACCCCCAGGUUGAAGUAUCCCAUCCUCCACUGACAGGGGAACUUAUUCCU